ACUGGAUUUAGCAGCAUGUAUUGAAAUUGGAACAAUACAGAGAAGAUUAGCAUGGCCCCAGCACAAGGAAAACAUGCAAAUUCAUGAAAAAAACCUCUAAGGGUCUUU
Small nuclear RNA from Dromiciops gliroides (monito del monte), 108 nucleotides. Lineage: Eukaryota; Metazoa; Chordata; Mammalia; Microbiotheria; Microbiotheriidae. The record is from RefSeq and is a predicted model, not a curated record.